Molecule: ribosomal RNA, 499 nt
Filed under: uncultured Glomeromycotina
Lineage: Eukaryota; Fungi; Glomeromycota
Description: partial small subunit ribosomal RNA
Rfam family: Eukaryotic small subunit ribosomal RNA
Source: RNAcentral
CCAAUAGCGUAUAUUAAAGUUGUUGCAGUUAAAAAGCUCGUAGUUGAAUUUCGGGAUCAAAUUGUCGGUCGUGCCUCGGUACGUACUGGUAUUAUUGGUUCCUCCCUUCUGACGAACCACGAUGUCAUUAAUUUGGUGUCAUGGGAAAUCAGGACUGCUACUUUGAAAAAAUUAGAGUGUUUAAAGCAGGCUCGCGCUUGAAUACAUUAGCAUGGAAUAAUGAAAUAGGACGUUUGAUUCUAUUUUGUUGGUUUCUAGGAUCGACGUAAUGAUUAAUAGGGAUAGUUGGGGGCAUUAGUAUUCAAUUGUCAGAGGUGAAAUUCUUGGAUUUAUUGAAGACUAACUACUGCGAAAGCAUUUGCCAAGGAUGUUUUCAUUAAUCAAGAACGAAAGUUAGGGGAUCGAAGACGAUCAGAUACCGUCGUAGUCUUAACCAUAAACUAUGCCGACUAGGGAUCGGAUGAUGUUAAUUUUUUAAUGACUCAUUCGGCGCCUUACG